GCCUUCGUGGUGUAAUGGCCAGCACACUCGAUUCGUAUUCGAGAGGUCCAAGGUUCGAGUCCCGGCAAGGGUA
Molecule: non-coding RNA, 73 nt
Organism: Stegodyphus mimosarum
Lineage: Eukaryota; Metazoa; Arthropoda; Arachnida; Araneae; Eresidae
Source: Rfam